UUUUUUUUUUUUUUUUUGGUCUCAGCCACGGGGACAUGUUCAGGAAUAGAGGGGAAUAGUGACUGGCUGGCUGUUCUGAGCCGGGGCUAGUAUUCCAGGCCGGCUGUGCCUGAGCCCGUGUGUGCCCCAGACCUUCGCGGCUCGGCGGCUGGAAGGUGGAGCCAGCGGCUUCUCCCCGGUGCCCGAGGACAACCAUGUUGGCGUCUUUCUCUUGGUCACAGCCGGAGCUCCACGGGGAUCUGCUGGGCUGCAGGAUGCUGCCAACGGAUGCGGGUGGCCCGCGUGGCCCCCAGAGCAAUCGGUGCCUGGCCUACUGCUCACCUGGCAGCUCCAGCCCUCACGUGCAGUCCCUCAGAAGAGCAUUGCUCCCGUUAGAAAAAAGGCCACCUGACUUCCCUUGACCCGUCUCUUCUUGAAACAAGAGUGAACCAGCAAAGUAUUUCUGAAGACAUGGUAGGCAUCUGGCAGCUGUUUUGUUGACAAACACUGUCCCUGCCAAUGGAUUGUCUAAGAAUGAGGAGAGGGAACCAACUGGAGCAAGG
This is a non-coding RNA of Callorhinus ursinus (northern fur seal), 542 nucleotides long. The record is from RefSeq and is a predicted model, not a curated record. NCBI's taxonomy places the organism in Eukaryota, Metazoa, Chordata, Mammalia, Carnivora, Otariidae.